AGAUUGAACGCUGGCGGCAGGCCUAACACAUGCAAGUCGAGCGGUAGAGAGGUGCUUGCACCUCUUGAGAGCGGCGGACGGGUGAGUAAUGCCUAGGAAUCUGCCUAGUGGUGGGGGAUAACGUUCGGAAACGGACGCUAAUACCGCAUACGUCCUACGGGAGAAAGCGGGGGACCUUCGGGCCUCGCGCCAUUAGAUGAGCCUAGGUCGAUUAGCUAGUUGGUG
RNAcentral lists this ribosomal RNA (225 nucleotides) under uncultured soil bacterium. RNAcentral describes it as "partial 16S ribosomal RNA". It matches the Rfam family "Bacterial small subunit ribosomal RNA", at positions 26 to 254 of the family's 1533-position model. The record is from RNAcentral.